RNAcentral lists this ribosomal RNA (370 nucleotides) under uncultured bacterium. RNAcentral describes it as "bacterial SSU rRNA". It matches the Rfam family "Bacterial small subunit ribosomal RNA", at positions 170 to 529 of the family's 1533-position model. The record is from RNAcentral.
CGGAUCGCCUCCGGAGCCUUCGGGCGCCGGAGAAAAGGUAGCUUCGGCUUCCGGCUGAGGAUGAGCCCGCGGCGGAUUAGCUUGUUGGCGGGGUAACGGCCCACCAAGGCGACGAUCCGUAGCUGGUCUGAGAGGACGAUCAGCCACACUGGGACUGAGACACGGCCCAGACUCCUACGGGAGGCAGCAGUGGGGAAUCUUGCGCAAUGGGCGAAAGCCUGACGCAGCGACGCCGCGUGCGGGAAGAAGGCCUUCGGGUUGUAAACCGCUUUCAGGAGGGACGAAGCCACUCGGGUUAAUAGCCCAGAGGGUGACGGUACCUCCAGAAGAAGCCCCGGCUAACUACGUGCAGCAGCCGCGGUAAUACGUA